UGGUGGAGUGAUUUGUCUGGUUAAUUCCGUUAACGAACGAGACCCCUGCCUGCUAAAUAGUGCGCCGAGUGUUUUCACUGGGUAGCGCUUCUUAGAGGGACGUGCAUUCGACUAGUUGCAGGAAGAUAGGGGCAAUAACA
This 140-nucleotide ribosomal RNA is filed under the name uncultured eukaryote. RNAcentral's name for it is "partial 18S ribosomal RNA". It matches the Rfam family "Eukaryotic small subunit ribosomal RNA", at positions 1299 to 1458 of the family's 1831-position model. The record is from RNAcentral.